Long non-coding RNA from Tympanuchus pallidicinctus (lesser prairie-chicken), 1137 nucleotides. RefSeq lists it as uncharacterized. The record is from RefSeq and is a predicted model, not a curated record. The transcript has 3 exons. NCBI's taxonomy places the organism in Eukaryota, Metazoa, Chordata, Aves, Galliformes, Phasianidae.
CCCCUUGCCAUAGAGUUGAGCCCUAUGGGGGUACAGAGUGGCGCCGUUGCUUGGAGGACUCCAUUUUGGCUCCCCAUCCCUUCCAGGACCUGCUUGGAGGACUCACUGUUGAGUUCCCCAUACCUGGAGGUCCUCCACAACCAUAGAGUUGAGCCCCAUGGGGGUACAGAGUGGCGCCGUUGCUUGGAGGACUCCAUUUUGGCUCCCUAUCCCUGCCAGGACCUGCUUGGAGGACUCACUGUUGAGUUCCCCAUACCUGGAGGUCCUCCACAACCAUAGAGUUGCAUCCCAUGGGGGUACAGAGUGGCGUCUUAGCUUGGAGGACUCCAUUUUGGCUCCCCAUCCCUGCCAGGACCUGCUUGGAGGACUCACUUGUAGGGGUGUCUACUUGUGGAGGUCCUCCAGAGCCAUAGAGUUGAGCCCCAUGGGGGUACAGAGUGGCGCCAUUGCUUGGAGGACUCCAUUUUGGCUCUCUGUCCCUGCCAGGACCUGCUUGGAGGACUCAAUUUUAGGGUUCCCCAUACCUGGAGGUCCUCCACAACCAUAGAGUUGAGCCCCAUGGGGGUACAGAGUGGCCUCUUAGCUUGGAUGUCUCCAUUUUGGGCUCUCUAUCCUUGGAGGUCCUCCACAACCAUAAAGUUGCGCCCCAUGGGGGUACAGAGCGGCACAGGGGUUGCUUGGAGGACUCCAUUUUGGGCUCCCCGUGCCCUGAAGUCCUCCACAACCAUAGAGUUGCACCCUAUGGAGGUACAGAGAGUUCAGCUUCCACUUGGAGGACUCCAUUUUGGGCUCUCUAUCCCUGGAGGUCCUCCACAACCAUAGAGUUGCUCCCUAUGGAGGUACAGAGAGUUCAGCUUCCACUUGGAGGACUCCAUUUUGGGCUCUCUAUCCCUGGAGGUCCUCCACAACCAUAGAGUUGCAUCCCAUGGGGGUACAGAGUGACCAGUCUCCUCUUGGAGGACUGCAUUUUGGGCUCUCUAUCCUUGGAGGUCCUCCACAACCAUAGAGUUGCAUCCCAUGGGGGUACAGAGUACCCAAUCUCCUCUUGGAGGACUCCAUUUUGGGCUCCCCGUGCCCGGAAGUCCUCCACAACCAUAGAGUUGCACCCUAUGGAGGUACAGAGAGGCCGCCAUCUCC